UUGGGUGUGCUGCCUUGUUUCAGGGGCUCAGAAGCACAAGGAGCGCAGAGGCAGGCGUGUGGCCGUGUUCCCUAAGAGCCCUUGGCCUGGCACAGCCCCACGGGCUGCAGGGUAGACAGGCCUGAGCUUGGACCUGAGCCCAGCCUGCCUUCUCUUCCUUGCAGUUCUUUCCGCACAAACCUAACUAGACCUCCAGUGACACCAGCUUGGGUCAAGCCACUACCUUUGCUCCAGGUCGGAGCCUUGUGAUUGCCACCCACCUCUCACUGCCAUGUGAAUGGGCCGCUCAAAGGUGGCAGGUCCCUGACAUAUGUGGCCAUGGUGCUCCAUGGUGCAGUUGUAGGAGGACCUGUGACCCUGCCACCUGCCUCCCACUCCUCCCUUUAUGUACCUGAGCUGCCUGUGCCAGCCUAGAAUGCCACUCGCCCCCAUGCCUAGCAUGGCUCCCGGCACAGACAGGACACCUGCAGAUGAGUGCUGAAUGAAGAGACCUCCGAGGAUGCUUGGUGACAUGGGGCUUUGGAGCCUGGUCUGGCACUUGGCACUAAGCCAUGUGUUACAAAUCGAUUCAUUUAAUUAAUCUCCACAACUACCCUAGGAGGAAGGCACAGAGAAAGUAGGU
RNAcentral lists this long non-coding RNA (622 nucleotides) under Heterocephalus glaber (naked mole-rat). RNAcentral describes it as "lncRNA (ENSHGLG00100050054.1)". The record is from RNAcentral. Lineage: Eukaryota; Metazoa; Chordata; Mammalia; Rodentia; Bathyergidae.